This 116-nucleotide ribosomal RNA is filed under the name Shewanella maritima. Lineage: Bacteria; Pseudomonadati; Pseudomonadota; Gammaproteobacteria; Alteromonadales; Shewanellaceae. The record is from RNAcentral.
UCUGGAGACAAUAGCAUUGUGGUCCCACCUGAAUCCAUUCCGAACUCAGUAGUGAAACGCAAUUGCGCCGAUGGUAGUGUGGGGUUUCCCCAUGUGAGAGUAGGUCAUUUCCAGAC